GCCGUACUCUCAUGCGUGGCGCCACCGUCCAGUCUCUACUGUUUGUGGCGCCACUACACGACCCCACGUGGGUGGAGCCGUCAAUCCCUGGCACGUGCACGGAUCGUUGGUUGUCCGAAUUUGAGGUGUUCCUCGAACACGGCACCAACGCAUCCUUAGUCAUUGCGACUAAACCGGUUGCCGGAGGAGCGUAAGCAACCGCGUUGUGGUUGUUGAACCAAGGAACCACCUCAUCUCCACUCUGUUUGUUCCUGUCCACGGUGGACUUCCCGUGGAGAUGAAGAGGAACGUCGUCGUUGCAACGGGUGGCUUGGUUCACUAUAGAUUCAAGGGUGCCACCGUAGCUCGAUAUGGGCUUAUUAUUAGCCCGUGGAGGCCCUAACCCAUGCAUUGCUAACUGCCCAUUUUCCCACGUUAGCUCCGCUACUUCAUAAUCUAAUGAGGGGACAUCAACGGCUAAUGAAUUGGAUUGAGUUUGUAUAAGAUUUUUUCU
RNAcentral lists this unclassified non-coding RNA (493 nucleotides) under Hevea brasiliensis (rubber tree). The record is from RNAcentral. Lineage: Eukaryota; Viridiplantae; Streptophyta; Magnoliopsida; Malpighiales; Euphorbiaceae.